CGGACCCUGCCCCAUGGAGCAGGGCACCUGGCCUUCUCCCAGAGGGGACUGCUGGUGGCGGGAAUGGGUGACGUUGUCAACAUCUGGGCAGGGCAGGGGGCCAGUGAGCCCAACUUCGAUGGCCUGGAGAGUAAUCCAUACAGAAGCCGGAAGCAGCGCCAGGAGUGGGAGGUGAAGGCCCUGCUAGAGAAGGUACCUGCAGAGCUUAUUUGUCUGGACCCACGAGCCCUGGCCGAGGUGGAUGUCAUCUCCCUGGAGCAGGGAAAGAAGGAGCAGAUAGAGAGGCUGGGCUAUGACCCGCAGGCUAAGGCUCCCUUCCAGCCAAAGCCAAAGCAGAAGGGCCGCAGCUCCACGGCAAGCCUGGUGAAGAGGAAGAGGAAGGUCAUGGAUGAGGAACACAGGGACAAGGUCCGGCAGAGCCUUCAGCAGCAGCAUCAUAAGGAGGCGAAGGCCAAGCCCACGGGGGCCCGGCCAUCUGCCCUGGACAGAUUUGUGCGCUGAGCCAGACUCCAGGGUUGCCUGGGAACAGUCUCUCCCCAAGAUCACCUGUAGGGAAAUGAGUGUUCCCUGGAACAAGGAGGUGGGGGCAGUGUGGCCCCUUCCCCAACUGGGGGUGGACAGCUGUCUCCUGGGGUGGGUUGGUAUUAAAGAGGAAAGCGAUUUUUUGGA
RNAcentral lists this small RNA (669 nucleotides) under Pan troglodytes (chimpanzee). Its description in RNAcentral is "processed transcript". The record is from RNAcentral. Lineage: Eukaryota; Metazoa; Chordata; Mammalia; Primates; Hominidae.